CUUAACAGCUAGCUUAUGUCUUAGGGAAUAAAAUGCUUAUAAUUUGACCUGGUGUUUAUUCAUCUUGGCCGAGAAGAACGUGAUCGGCAGCUCUUCGUCGUCCUGGCUCCGCUGAAACAGUACCGCCCUAACGCCAACGUAAGUUGCGUCGCACUGGAUGAAGAAAUGUUUCUUAAAAUCCGCAUGAACAAGGACCGGUGCGCUCGUCAGGGCCAACUUCAUAUCGUCUACUGCUCGUGCUUUCUUUUCUUCGAAGCUUCGGAAAAUGGUGCUGCCAGUGUAGCCAAGUUCUUGACGAAGCGGCGAUACUAUCCCACUGUGACUUGGAAGGCUGGUGAAGGAAACUUCAUGGAUAUCGGGUAUAGUAUCCUCUGAAUCGCCGAAACUCGCGCACUCAUGCGCACAGCCCCCCUCCAACUAUAAACACGAGGCCCUGGGCCACUCCAAGCAGGUACUUUAAGUGGGUCUGGUAAUUGGAAGCCAAGAUUGGAAGGUCAACCAGAUACACAAAAACGUUCGAUCUCAGGUCCGCUGGUAUCACCCGGUCCAUUAGACUUACCAAGCGUUGCGCUGCGUUGCACAGUCCGAAUGGCAUCAUCCGGAACUGAUACAACGGUCUCCCAGGAAUUGUGAACGCCGUGUACUCCUUGCUCUUGUCAUUCAAUGCGAUCUGCCAGAACGCAAACUUGAGAUCCCUACUGGAGAUAUAGUGCGUCUGGUCGAUUCUGGAUAGGAUACCAUCAACACUGUGUGGAGGGUAAUGCCUUUCCACGCUAGACACUCCUAGGCCAUCCCCUUACAAGGUUAGAAACUCAUUCUUUACCUUUUCUAAUGCUUCCCUUUCCUCCGCCGACAGGCAGCAGGAUUCCGUCUCCUCCUUCGCUUCGUCCAUCUCCUACAUAUCCUUCCAUAAUCCACCGGCAAAUUCAAGCGUCCAAUAAUGGGCCGAUCUUUGCCAGACGCCGUUCUCACCUACGAGAACCGGAGCUCCACGAGCUCCCUGCAGUCCUUGCCGAGCACGCUGGCACUGACUCCCGUGUCCAACAAUCCUUUGAGGUCACGUUUGCAAACGGUCUAGGAUCUCCAGAUUCGAUGCGCUUUACGGACGCAACUUGCGACGCUUAGAUUUCCUGAUCUUGAAGCGGUCCCUCGCCUUUUACACUUUCCUCGAAUCUAGCCACAUGCCUAUCACUUGGUGUUCCGUGAAGAUCCGAUUGCUGACCUCUCAGUCGCAACCCUUCCUUCGCUGCUCUCGGAUUGCACAGCCGGCCGUUUUCCGCGCACUCAGAGACUUCGGUGACACCGUGUUCGGUGGUCAACAGCAAUAGCAAAACAGCAAUAGAAAAAUCAGUUCCAGCAACCUGCUAACCUUGCGGCUCGGGUUCUGGUGCGGAUCUCUUCCACCUGGAAGUGGACUACCUCAUUCACCCGCAUUCGGAAACUCCGUUUUACCUCAACGCAUUCCCUACAAAGCUCAUCAACGGUGAACACCUCCAUUGCGUAUACGUAUCGCGCUAUUCCGUCUCUCAAGCCUUUUUAAUAACCCAAUUGCCGAUCCGGCAUUGCUUUUUUCAGGCGUGAGUCGAGCUGCUGCAUGGAAUAUAAACCGACCAACAAGUCUACCAAUAGUUCUUUGUAAGCCCCCAGACAGUGGUAAAAAAAGUACGCCAAAAUACAUGGAAUAAAUAAGAUGAAUCAUAAACAACAGAACACUGAAUUAAAUUUUAUAGUCCCUACCUCACGGACUUUCAAUUUAAAU
Long non-coding RNA from Drosophila sechellia, 1759 nucleotides. RefSeq lists it as uncharacterized. NCBI's taxonomy places the organism in Eukaryota, Metazoa, Arthropoda, Insecta, Diptera, Drosophilidae. The transcript is spliced from 3 exons. The record is from RefSeq and is a predicted model, not a curated record.